RNAcentral lists this ribosomal RNA (253 nucleotides) under uncultured bacterium. Its description in RNAcentral is "partial 16S ribosomal RNA". It matches the Rfam family "Bacterial small subunit ribosomal RNA", at positions 524 to 776 of the family's 1533-position model. The record is from RNAcentral.
UACGUAGGUGGCAAGCGUUGUCCGGAAUUACUGGGCGUAAAGCGCGUGUAGGCGGUUAUGCAAGUCGGGUGUGAAAGCCCCGGGCUCAACCCGGGAAGUGCAUUCGAUACUGCGUAGCUAGAGUACUGGAGAGGAUGGUGGAACUCUCGGUGUAGAGGUGAAAUUCGUAGAUAUCGAGAAGAACACCGGUGGCGAAGGCGGCCAUCUGGACAGAUACUGACGCUGAGACGCGAAAGCGUGGGGAGCAAACAGG